GAUGAACGCUGGCGGCGUGCCUAAUACAUGCAAGUCGAGCGAACGGACGAGAAGCUUGCUUCUCUGAUGUUAGCGGCGGACGGGUGAGUAACACGUGGAUAACCUAUCUAUAAGACUGGGAUAACUUCGGGACACCGGAGCUAAUACCGGAUAAUAUUUUGAACCGCAUGGUUCAAAAGUGAAAGACGGUCUUGCUGUCACUUAUAGAUGGAUCCGUGCUGCAUUAGCUAGUUGGUAAGGUAACGGCUUACCAAGGCAACGAUGCAUAGCCGACCUGAGAGGGUGAUCGGCCACACUGGAACUGAGACACGCUCCAGACUCCUACGGGAGGCAGCAGUAGGGAAUCUUCCGCAAUGGGCGAAAACCUGACGGAGCAACGCCACGUGAAUGAUGAAGAUCUUCGGAUCGUAAAACGCUGUUAUUAGUGAAGAACAUAUGUGUAAGUAGCUGUGCACAUCUUGACGGUACCUAAUCAUAAAGCCACGGCUAACUACGGG
Molecule: ribosomal RNA, 497 nt
Filed under: uncultured bacterium
Lineage: Bacteria
Description: partial 16S ribosomal RNA
Rfam family: Bacterial small subunit ribosomal RNA
Source: RNAcentral